Molecule: ribosomal RNA, 489 nt
Filed under: uncultured bacterium
Lineage: Bacteria
Description: partial 16S ribosomal RNA
Rfam family: Bacterial small subunit ribosomal RNA
Source: RNAcentral
GAUGAACGCUGGCUACAGGCUUAACACAUGCAAGUCGAGGGGAAACGCCGGGGAAGCUUGCUUCCCCGGGCGUCGACCGGCGCACGGGUGAGUAACGCGUAUCCAACCUGCCUCUGACUGAGGGAUAACCCGUCGAAAGUCGGCCUAAUACCUCAUGGCAUCGUCUGCGGGCAUCCAACGACGAUUAAAGAUUUCAUCGGUCAGAGAUGGGGAUGCGUCUGAUUAGCUUGUUGGCGGGGUAACGGCCCACCAAGGCGACGAUCAGUAGGGGUUCUGAGAGGAAGGUCCGCCACAUUGGAACUGAGACACGGUCCAAACUCCUACGGGAGGCAGCAGUGGGGAAUAUUGGUCAAUGGGCGAGAGCCGGAACCAGCCAAGUAGCGUGCAGGAUGACGGCCCUAUGGGUUGUAAACUGCUUUUAUGCGGGGAUAAAGUGAGGGACGUGUCCUUCAUUGCAGGUACCGCAUGAAUAAGGACCGGCUAAUUCCG